GUGGGGAAUCUUGGACAAUGGGCGCAAGCCUGAUCCAGCAAUGCCGCGUGGGUGAAGAAGGCCUGCGGGUUGUAAAGCCCUUUCGGUGGGGAGGAACGGUCUGAUGCUAAUAUCAUGAGACCUUGCCGUCACCCACAGAAGAAGCACCGGCCAACUCCGUGCCAGCAGCCGCGGUAAUACGGAGGGUGCGAGCGUUAAUCGGAAUUACUGGGCGUAAAGGGCGCGUAGGUGGUGCGUUGAGUCAGCUGUGAAAGCCCUGGGCUUAACCUGGGAAUGGCAGUUGAGACUGGCGUGCUGGAGUGCGACAGAGGACGGUGGAAUUCCCGGUGUAGCGGUGAAAUGCGUAGAGAUCGGGAAGAACACCGAUGGCGAAGGCAGCCGUCUGGGUCGACACUGACGCUGAGGCGCGAAGGCGUGGGGAGCAAACAGGAUUAGAUACCCGAGUAGUCC
This 450-nucleotide ribosomal RNA is filed under the name uncultured bacterium. RNAcentral describes it as "bacterial SSU rRNA". It matches the Rfam family "Bacterial small subunit ribosomal RNA", at positions 354 to 796 of the family's 1533-position model. The record is from RNAcentral.